RNAcentral lists this ribosomal RNA (454 nucleotides) under uncultured bacterium. Its description in RNAcentral is "partial 16S ribosomal RNA". It matches the Rfam family "Bacterial small subunit ribosomal RNA", at positions 28 to 507 of the family's 1533-position model. The record is from RNAcentral.
GAUGAACGCUGACAGAAUGCUUAACACAUGCAAGUCUACUUGAACUUCGGUUUGGGUGGCGGACGGGUGAGUAACGCGUAAAGAACUUGCCUCACAGAUAGGGACAACAUUUGGAAACGAAUGCUAAUACCUGAUAUUAUGAUUUUAGGGCAUCCUAGAAUUAUGAAAGCUAUAUGCACUGUGAGAGAGCUUUGCGUCCCAUUAGCUAGUUGGAGAGGUAACGGCUCACCAAGGCGAUGAUGGGUAGCCGGCCUGAGAGGGUGAUCGGCCACAAGGGGACUGAGACCCGGCCCUUACUCCUACGGGAGGCAGCAGUGGGGAAUAUUGGACAAUGGACCAAGAGUCUGAUCCAGCAAUUCUGUGUGCACGAUGAAGUUUUUCGGAAUGUAAAGUGCUUUCAGUUGGGAAGAAAAAAAUGACGGUACCAACAGAAGAAGUGACGGCUAAAUACGUG